Molecule: unclassified non-coding RNA, 337 nt
Filed under: soil metagenome
Description: partial contains 5.8S ribosomal RNA, internal transcribed spacer 2, and large subunit ribosomal RNA
Rfam family: 5.8S ribosomal RNA (bases 1-120)
Source: RNAcentral
GAUGAAGAACGCAGCGAAAUGCGAUAAGUAGUGUGAAUUGCAGAAUUCAGUGAAUCAUCGAAUCUUUGAACGCACAUUGCGCCCCAUGGUAUUCCGUGGGGCAUGCCUAUUCGAGCGUCAUUUACCCCCUCAAGCUCCGCUUGGUGUUGGGCGUCUGUCCCGCUUCGCGCGCGGACUCGCCCCAAAGGUAUUGGCAGCGGUCGUGCCAGCUUCUCGCGCAGCACAUUGCGCUUCUCGAGGCACCGGUGGGCCCGCGUCCAUCAAGCUCACCCCCCCAGUUUGACCUCGGAUCAGGUAGGGAUACCCGCUGAACUUAAGCAUAUCAAUAAGCGGAGGA